Melanotaenia boesemani (Boeseman's rainbowfish) is the source of this 263-nucleotide long non-coding RNA. RefSeq lists it as uncharacterized. The transcript has 3 exons. The record is from RefSeq and is a predicted model, not a curated record. Lineage: Eukaryota; Metazoa; Chordata; Actinopteri; Atheriniformes; Melanotaeniidae.
GGGGUCUGUUACACCUGGUUGGAGGAGGUGUUGGGGUCUGUUACACCUGGUUGGAGAAGGUGUUGGGGUCUGUUACACCUGGUUGGAGGAGGUGUUGGGGUCUGUUAUACCUGGUUGGAGAAGGUGUUGGGGUCUGUUAUACCUGGUUGGAGAAGGUGUUGGGGUCUGUUACACCUGGUUGGAGGAGGUGUUGGGGUCUGUUACACCUGGUUGGAGGAGGUGUUGGGGUCUGUUAUACCUGGUUGGAGAAGGUGUUGGGGUCU